RNA transcript from Papaver somniferum (opium poppy), 4036 nucleotides. RefSeq lists it as uncharacterized. NCBI's taxonomy places the organism in Eukaryota, Viridiplantae, Streptophyta, Magnoliopsida, Ranunculales, Papaveraceae. The transcript is spliced from 4 exons. The record is from RefSeq and is a predicted model, not a curated record.
ACCGGGGCUCAACUUUUCGGUUUUAGGGUGCGGGGGCACAAUUAGGUUAAGGGUAGAUAUAAUCGGAUUAUGGUAUAAUACAUACAUGUAGUUAAAAUCGCUCUCCAAUGUCGAUUUCCUGGGUGAGUAUCCUAUUCAAUCGAGGUGAGUUUCCAUUCUUGAGUACCGGCAAUUAAGGUGUUCGAAGAGAGGUGCGUUUCAAUUCCUCCCCGAAUCUGAGUACUGGCGAUUAAGGUGUUCGAAUAGAGGUGAGUUUCAACUCCUCCCUGAAUCUAAAUACCGGCGAUAAAGGCGUUCGAAGAGAUUAAAUUCUAGCGUUUUUUCACUAGAACGAGUUGAUUAUCGACUUUUACACAUCAAGUUUUGAAUUCAUAUAGUUUAGUGGCAUGAGUUCGUGUCAAUAACAUAGGUAAUAUCUAAAUUUAUAUCAUCAUUAUCAUCAUCAUUCCAUCAUACAUAAUAACACAAUGCCUAUAAUGUCAUCUUCAUGUGUUGUUCGUCAACAGGUCCGCCAUGGUCUCAUACGUAGCGUAUUACCCAAACUUUCUUGCUCUGUGUCACAACUCACCGGACCCCCCGAAAUCUAUAAAAUCUUUAAUCCACCUUCACCACCGCUACCACCACCACCAUCGAGUGGAAACCCAUUAUUUGAUUUUUUUUUUCUACCAUGUUGUUCCUGGCAUGAAAUCUAAAAGGGUGAUUAGAAGAUUAGAAUUAGCUUGGAAUUUUGAUUCAUCGAUUGCUUUGAAGUUGAUAUGCAAUUUAAGGGGCGUUAGAGGGACUACAAAAUCAGAUAAAAGAAGUUUUUAUGCUGCAGCAUUAUGGCUUCAUAAGCAUCACCCUAAAACCCUGGCUUGUAAUUUGAAGGCAUUUGCUGAAUUUGGUUAUUUCAAAGACCUGCCUGAGAUUCUCCAUCAGAUAUUAGCAAAGGAAUCUCGCAAGGAGGAGGAGCCGCUGCUGCUGCUCCCCAAAUCACCGUUCAAAGUAUACCCUAUGAGCAGGGGUGAACGGAUGACUUACAGACGAGAAGUACCUGCAGAUAUAAGGAUCCAGGAUAGUAUGAAAAGAGUUCAGAGAGUGAAAGAAAAGGCGGGUAGAAAGAGAAAUGAAGCAAGAAUCAGGAAAGCAGUAAGAGCAAUCGAGAUGUACAAUGGGGAUGCGAAUUACAGAUUCUUACAUGACCGAAUCUCUGACGUCUUCGCUGAGUGUUUAGUUUCUGAUUUGCAAAACCUGAAUUCUGGUAAAAUUCAGAACAUUAGUUUUGCUUCAAAGUGGUGUCCAUCUUUAGACUCAUCGUAUGAUCAGUCAACUUUUUUGUGUGAAAGUAUUGCCAGAAGAAUCUUCCCUCGUGAUUCAUUUCCAGAGUAUGAACCUCAUUACACAUUUAGAAUCCGUGAUCGUCUAAGGAAACAAGUACUCGUCCCUCUUCGUGGUGCACUAAAAUUACCUGAAAUUUACAUGAGUUCAAACAACUGGGCGAUGUUGCCUUACAACCAAGUUCCCUAUGUUGCCUUGAAAAGGUACUGGAAAACCUUCAUGAAGCAUGACAAAGUAAGUUCAAGUGUUUUCGAGAGAGUGUAAGACGAGAUAUAAAGAUUGCUGCGGAAACUUUACUACCUCACCAGAUCUUGGCGGCUUCCAAAUAUGAUUGUAACGUUGCAGAGCUUCAAUGGAGGCGAUUGGUGGAGAAAUUGUUGAAAGUCAGUAAUCUAAAAGGUUCUCUUGCAAUUUGCGACAGAGUUACAGGUAGAAGAGCAAUACUUGUCUCCGUCGCUCUUAGUUUGUUAGUAUCAGAGAUGAGUCAAGGACCUUGGAAAGGAAAACUUAUGGAAUUCUGUGAGUUUCCUAAGCUGCGGAAGAUUGAAGGCGACAAUUUGAGAUUCAAGAAAUAUUUUAUCAGAGAAGAAAUGAUGUUCCAUCGUAAUACAGAUUUCCUGAAGAUUAUCUACAAAAUAUUGCAAGUAGCAGUUGAUGAGAACUUGAAGGAAGAUGAAAUGAUAAAGAGGCUUUAUGUGUUCACUGAUGUGAAGUUUAUCCAUGCUUCUGGUAAGGUCACUAUGUAUGGUAUUGAACCUUACGGUGAGGUAUUGCAUAAAGUUAACGGCGACUGGGAGACGGAUUACCGGGAGAUACAGAAGAGGUUUCGAGAGAGUGGGUUCUCGAAUGUGCCUGAGAUUGUGUUUUGGAACUUGGGAGUUGGGACAUCCCGUAGCAACUGUAGUUAAGGGUGGAUAUAAGGGCGUGACACUAGUCAGUGGGAUUUCUUACAAGUUGCUGAAGUUGUUUAUAGAAGGGGAUAUCAAUGGUAUAAAUCCAGUGGCUUCAAUGGAAACAGCAAUCUUGGGAAAGGAAUACGACAAACUUGUCGUAGUUGAUUGAAAAGCUGGAUUUUCUGGUAUGCACGUUCCUAUAUUGUUAUGAUCUAUUGCUGAUAUAAGUCCAAAAGGAAAAACAUUAGAGGAUUCAUUGAUUAUCUUUCUGUCUUCAGUUUCGUGAGUAAAUUGUUCUUUAAUUAGUCGAAACUUGAAACUGUUAUGUGUCGUUCAUGUGCUAAAACUAUUUUGCAAAAUGUGUUUGUUCGCUUCUCAGGCAGAACAUGACAUUCCUGUAGUCUUUUACCUACAUGUUCUUGUUUUUAUCCGUUUUCUUUGGUGGGUGGAACGUUUACUCUAUUUUAUCAAGGCUGCUGUGGUGGAUUCAUUUUGCUUCUCGAGGCAUUAGUUCCAAUUUGCGUAAAAUGGUUGAUGAUAGUGCAGCUGAAGUUGAUUCUGCAUCACCAGACUUCUGGGUUAUGGUGGCAGCUCUGAAGGUGAUGGUGAAGCACCUCUUGAGGAAGCUAUACCAGAUAUGACUUCUUCAACAGAAUUCUACGUGAAUUUGCAGAAGACAUACCAAGCCAAAGCCGAGGAAGAUUUUCUUGCAGUUGAGAAGAAGGGUGAGAGAUAUUCUAAAAAGAGUUGGCAGAGAUCCCGCUUCCAUUUCCAAAGGAAACAUUAAAAAAAAUUCUGUAAUCCUGAACAUGGAUUUCGGUGGAUCAAAAUUAUAGAGAGAUUACUGUUGCUGCAAAGAAUAGAAUAAGUCAUAUCCUGGCUAAGCGAAAGCUUGAAACUGACACACCGAAUGAGGUUGAAGCUGGAAGGGUACAUGAAAUGAAAUGAAGUGUUGGGUGGAAGUUAAUGGUCGUAAUCUUUCAGAAUGUAAAAUAGUACCAAUUGAGCAGGUUGAUCUAAACUCGGCUGUGAUACAUGUAGUUGAAUGUGAAAAAGGUCAUACAGCCAUGGCUGUUACCAUCCCGAGCUGGUAUGCAGAUACUGUCCUAUUGAAGAUGUUCAAUUCUCCUACCUUGUCGGAGUUGCAGAAGUAUUCGACUGAUGAAGACUACAGUAUUGCCGUUGGGUUCUACAUUCUGCUCCGAGCUAUUGACCCCGUUUGCUACUAACUACAACAGAUUCUUGGUCUUUUUGAUGGUGCUGUGGAUGAGGAGAAGACUAGCUGUUGGCGUACUAAGUGACUUGGGUUGCAACGGGACAACCUUGACUGACGACUUGAUCAGUGAAAUGCAUUGAUUUGGUGGUGCGGAGCUCCAUACUGUAGCUGCUGUAAUAGGUGGAAUUGCUUCACAAGAAGUUACUAAGCUCACCGAGAAGCAAGACAUUUAUCUUGUAGAAAUUAACGUCGAGUCUCAUUUUGAGUGGGCUUUGGAAGCUUUAAUCCACUCCUUCGAAGUCCAGGACGCUCUAGUCCGAAUAUCCCGGCUUUUUACUGUUUAGUCCAAAACUUGGCGUGGAUAAUAGUGUUUAACUCGUCGGAAUUAUGCUUUGCAACGCUAAUCUCGGAUUCACUAUAUUGUCCCAAUGGCUUCGCAAUAGUAUUUCCGUCUCUAACCACUGUUGGCACAUCAUAUCUAAUAACUACAAAUUUUCAUAUCUCAAAGUCACAGGCUUGUAAAAAGGAACGCAUAACAAUUUUUCACCAUGUGUAAUUUGAGACAUCAAAUGCUGGCAGUACGAAUAUUGAGAUUGAACUUUUGUCCAUA